CGCUAAUUCGACAGCGCUUACACGAGUUUCAAGUACUUCGGCUAUGUACAAUCUCCCUGGCGCGUUCGGCGGCGCGGCGCCGCGCGGCGUUGCCGUCAAGGAGACGUAAUUGGAAGUCGUGCAAGCCCGGUCGGGAGAGGAACGCGGAAUGGAAGCCACAAGGAGGCCGAGCGUUAUCAAUUCACCAUGCUGUUCGACGCGCGAAUGACUUCAAGUAGAGCGGAAAAAGCAACGAGAAAUCCAAGUUUCUCAGGACCACAGGAGAAUUUCAGUUGACACGCGGUUUCGUGACCUUCGACGAGGAACAUCAGAAUUCCCAUGGUGUUUUAUUCACGCACACACGCGGGCACACAACUUAGCAUCCUGUACGAAUGGCUAACGGUAGGCAAAUGAACGUUACUUGGCCAUUUUCCAAGGAAAUGCAACGUUUUGCCUUUUCACAGUGAAAUCGAGAAUUCACAUGUCGCGGAACGCAUUUUUUAUUUCACAGUGAUUUCGAAAUUUUUUAUAGUUACUUCUUCAAACAUCUUAAUGUUUAUCAUAUUCACUCGAAGAUCAAGACUCUUAAUUGACCUUCUCAAAUUUUUUGUUUUUAGUUUGUAAUUUGAAAAAGAAGCUGUACGAAGUUAAUUAACUUCGAAUUCGCUAAAGCGGUAUAAGAAAUUGCGGGAAACGUGAUAGACCGUUCUAAUCUACUUCCUUUGAAUUUGUUAAACUUGUUUGAAUUAUUGAUUAUACAAUUUUAAACUGC
Molecule: long non-coding RNA, 751 nt
Organism: Megalopta genalis
Lineage: Eukaryota; Metazoa; Arthropoda; Insecta; Hymenoptera; Halictidae
Source: RefSeq, a predicted model, not a curated record